Molecule: long non-coding RNA, 1298 nt
Filed under: Chinchilla lanigera (long-tailed chinchilla)
Lineage: Eukaryota; Metazoa; Chordata; Mammalia; Rodentia; Chinchillidae
Description: lncRNA (ENSCLAG00000024319.1)
Source: RNAcentral
AUGCUCUAUUAUCUUAGAAAACAAAGGCGAACCAGAAAGAGCCAAACACAGACUGAUUUCCAUUCCAGGCUUUGCCUUUCAAUUUCACGGGCUUUUGUGGGAACUGGAGCCUGCUCUGUCCUUGGCAGAGCACUGAGAGGAGGAGGGAAGCAGCAGGAGCCGCAGAGGACUUGGGUGGACAGCAGAGAAGGCCAAAAGGCUCAGAAGUCAGCCGGUUUGGUCGUUUUCAAGCUGUGUUCCUUAGAACCCUGAGGUCCACGGAGGUUCUUGGGAAAAGAGUUGGCCUGGGCCUCAAACUACCAUGCACAGCACUGCUGCUUUUACCUAGGAAUGUGGGACACACAGACCAUUUUUAAAAAGAAAAAAACUACAACUAUAACUCACUCAAUUUCAUUUUAGAGAAAGAAAAGCGAGACCAGAGAGAAAGUGAUUUUUGUAAGUUACAAACAGCUCUGUUCUGUUUUUUUUUUUUUUUUUUUUUUUUGUGGUACCGGGAAUUGAACUCAUGACCUCAGGCUUGCCAGGUAAGUGCUUAUGCCACUGAGCUAUAUCCCUGGCAGCUCUGUUCUCUUUCCACGAGGAGACCAGGAGUCUAUUUGGGACAGUUCCCAGUCUGCCACACGUUUGGAGCCAGUAGGCCCUGUCAAUCCUCACCUCCUGGCUGUUCUGCCUGGGCUGUCACAGUUGGGGCCCAGGCUGGCACUCAGUGGGGACUGAGAUAAGGGAGAUUGCUUUCCACUAGGUUCGUGGCCUACAGGACAGAUCAGUGACCAUGGUCUAGUAAUGUCUGGGAAGCUGUCUUUGGCACGAAGGCAGCUACCUGACUUCUGGUAAGUCACCCAGGCCCUAGGACCUCAGGACCCCUAGGCCCUAACACUAGCCACACAGAGGGUGCAGCUCAGAAUGGCACUUUGGCGGGGAGGUCCCUGAGACAUGUGAUCCGCCCAGCCCUGAGCUUCCCCUCUCAGGCCUCUGCUAACCGAUACUCCUGGUUGUCAUGACUUUUUGGGAAAAUCUUUAGAAAGAUUGGGGGGGUGGAUGUGUCAACAUUUAAAUUAUUCUCAGUAUCCAACAAAGUCUAUUAGUCUACUACCAAAAAUACAGGAUAACAUAACUUCAAAGACAGCUCUUCCCAAGAUGGGGCCUGGCGGCAUCAUUUGCUAACGACCUGGCCGCCUCCUGCCUGUCCCAUUUCCUCCAAGGCGAGGCUGACUGACCGGCUAGGUGUCACUCCAAGAGACCAAAGGAAGUCUGGGGAGGCCCUCCGCCCAUUCUGCCUCCGCCAGCAUCCACAGUGU